ACUCAAAUGAAUUGACGGGGACCUGCACAAGCGGUGGAGCAUGUGGUUUAAUUCGACGGUAAGCGAGGAACCUUACCAAGCUUUGACAUGUACCUGCAUACAUUAGAAAUAGUGUAGCCUUCGAGGGUGGUACACAGGUGCUGCACGGUUGUCGUCAGCUCGUGCCGUGAGGUGUUCACUUAAGUGUGAAAACGAGCGCAACCCCUAUUGUAAGUUACAAGUGUCUUACGAAACUGCCCGCGUCUAAGCGGGAGGAAGGUGGGGAUGACGUCAAAUCAGCGUGGCUCUUACAGCUUGGGCGACACACGUGCUACAAUGGGUAGAACAGAGGGACGCCAAGGCGCAAGCCGGAGCAAAUCCCAUCAAAACUACCCCCAGUUCGGAUCGAGGGCUGCAACUCGCCCUCGUGAAGCCGGAAUCGCUAGUAACCGUGGAUCAGCCUCGCCACGGUGAAUACGUUCUCAGGUUUUGCACACACCGCCCGU
Molecule: ribosomal RNA, 485 nt
Filed under: uncultured bacterium
Lineage: Bacteria
Description: partial 16S ribosomal RNA
Rfam family: Bacterial small subunit ribosomal RNA
Source: RNAcentral